UACAUCGCCAUAGAGUAGUUGAAAAACAAAAAGGGGUUCCGAAAGUACAAGUUGUUGCUGUGACUGAAUCGAUGAUUGAGAGGGUCGUCUCGACGAAAGAUAUAGAAAUUUGGCCAUAGUUUAGAUUAGGAAUACGUCAAUGUAAUAAUAGUGGACUAAAUGUUUCGUCCGUGCAGAAUGGCACUUUUUACCUCACGAAAUUCACCACCAUGCAUAGCUGCGCUACGUAAACAAAGUUGUUGAUGUAGCGUGAUCGUGAUGUCCGAGUGCUGCGAGUUUCAAUACUGUUUAUGUAGUCAUUGAGAGUUUAAACAAAGUUUCUUCUGAGAAGAGGAAUUCGAUGGAUGCAUUCAACGUGGACAACGAAAUCAUAAUUUCGUUUGCAUCAUCCUAAGGACCAGUGCAAGUUGAAGUGGGCUUCCAGCCAACAACUUCAACAGCAAUUUGCCAUGAAAAUCAGCAAGAAAGGUACUUCAUUUACAUUGAUGAUGUCAUAUCCCCUGGACCCCACAACUUUACAGGUUACAGAGAAAAUUCAAGAACUUCUGCACAAUGUGGGACUCGGAUAGAAUCAAUAAUGUAUUUGUGAGCCCAGAUAUAUUGUGCAACAUACUAAAGUGUGAAUUUAAUGGAAAACAAGUACAUGUACUCAUGUAUUACAUGUCUUUUUUAAAGACAAUAAUAUUGUAUAAAUAUAGAGGAAGUGUCAUUGUUGAUUAUUCUAAGUUUUUGAUAUACCAAAAUCAGUAAACAUUUGUAAAUGAAAAUAAAAUACCAAUUUUAUAACUUUAAUCAAUGUGUUUGAAUUUCUCAUUUUCUAACCCCCCUCCCACCCCACCCCCGUUACACACACUCAGUGCAUAUAUACUGUGAAUGCAAUAUGCAUGCAUUCUAAGUUAUCCAAGCGAGUUUUUGUUUCAGUGUGAGACUACAAGUAGGACUCAUAAACUUAUGAAGAGACAUAUAUAUUUGUGAGAGCAAGAUAGCUGAUAUGAGCCUUGAGAUCAAUGGGUCGAGCCGCGGUGGUGGUCUAGAGGUUAGAGCGUUCGCCCCGCAUGCGGAAGGCCAGGGUUCGAACCGGCGCGAGCCCCCCUAAAAUUUUCAAGUUUAAAGUAAAUCGUGGUCUCUUGUUUAGAGAAAUAUAUACGAUAAAAGAAGCCAUAAUUUCCUCCACUCUCAGAGAAAUAAAUGUCUGACAAAAUCUUUUGAUUUAUUGAAUUACUUUUAGUGGGAGAACUGCUACUUUUUCCAAAAACCCUUAAAAUUUGCGUUAUUUUAUUAGUUUCACCUUAUUAAAAAUGACAGAAAAUAAUAAAAAUGACUACAUAGGAGACAUAUUUUAAGCCCUAAAAAAUCUGUAAAAUCCAGGAGUUUCUGGGGAAUCGCCCCCCUCCCUUCAAGGCGGCCCCCAGACCCCUGCCUCAUACAGUUGCACCCCCCCCCCUCCCAACUUCAAUUCCUGAUCCGCCCCUGAAAUAGCUUAUAGAAACCUUCUUAUUGUCAUGUUCAAUUUUCAAAGAGGUAAUUUGGGAAUGCUUAAACAUUCUAAGUUAUAAAAAGGUCAGUAGUUUAUCUCUGCUGGCUGAAUCUUUCUUCUCAAUGCACCGAGUGCAAUUCAUGACGUCUAUGUUCCUGCUCAUUCUUUCUCCUCCAUACCAUACAGUAUAUUAAAGGGGUUGGGAUGUAAUGGAGACAUUUGUUUUAACAAAUAUAAAUUGUAUUUCAAUUUUUUGUGGGAAUUUUUAUUUGGGAAAACUCUUGAUAUUAAUCAUCAAAUAUGAUGACGUAUGAUAAAUCUAUAUUCUGAGUGUAAGUGCACAAAGGUCAACAACGAGAACUACAACAAAAUAUAAGCUACAAUUUGAAAUACAUACUUUCUGUAUUAUAUUUAUUAAUUUAAAAAAGGUAUUACAAAGAAUCUUCGAAUUUCAGCAAGCUGUUUUUGAUGGAUUGUUUACAACAUCUUUUAAUAACCCAUUUUCUUACGAAAAUGUGUAGUUUGUUAAAAGGGGGUGGGGUUAGGAAUUUUUUACUAGUUCCAUAUUGAACCCCAUUAUGGUGUAUAAUUUUUUUCAUAUAUUUUACUGACUAAUAGACUGACCACUUAAUGAAAUAAAAUAAGAAAUUUGAUGGGUAAUUUUUUUGCAGCUUAAGCAAAGGUAUGACCCUGUGUGCAAAUAUUGUGCACUGUUUUAAGGUAAUUGGCCAAUGUAGCUCUGUUGAAGUAAUGUUGUUGCAUGUUAAUAAUGAUUGCUGAACUUGAAAUUGAUGUGUAAUAUACAAUUAUGUGAAAGGUUGUUUGGAACCAUAUAUGACAAGUUAUGAUCCUUUUUACAAUAAAAAUGUUAUAGCUCUAUUUGUA
Ostrea edulis (European flat oyster) is the source of this 2362-nucleotide long non-coding RNA. RefSeq lists it as uncharacterized. The transcript is spliced from 3 exons. Lineage: Eukaryota; Metazoa; Mollusca; Bivalvia; Ostreida; Ostreidae. The record is from RefSeq and is a predicted model, not a curated record.